UGUUCUUGGAAGCUAAGGGAAAUGAGGGAUUUGCUUGAUGCUAAGCACAUAUUGCUUGAGUGGAGGUUACCCAGGCAUGGUUACUAUGUCUUCAAUGUUUCCAUUAAAACCUUGUUCUUCUCUGUUUAUCUUCUCUUCACUGCCCUUUGUUGCGCAUGCAUUCAUUUUUUGUGGGGAUCUCCUAUUAGAGGAGGGAGAAGGGAGGGGAAGAAAAAGAAAAGAAUCGGAGAAGAGAGGUUGUUGAUCUUGGAAGCUAAGGGAAAUGAGGGAUUUGCUUGAUGCUAAGCACAUAUUGCUUGAGUGGAGAUUACCCAGGUAUGGUUACUAUGUCUUCAAUGUUUCCAUUAAAACCUUGUUCUUCUCUGUUUAUCUUCUCUUCACUGCCCUUUGUUGCGCAUGCGUUCAUUUUUUGUGGGGAUCUCCUAUUAGAGGAGGGAGAAGGGAGGGGAAGAAAAAGAAAAGAAUCGGAGAAGAGAGGUUGUUGAUCUUGGAAGCUAAGGGAAAUGAGGGAUUUGCUUGAUGCUAAGCACAUAUUGCUUGAGUGGAGAUUACCCAGAGGAGGGAGAAGGGAGGGGAAGAAAAAGAAAAGAAUUGGAGAAGGGAGGUUGUUGAUCUUGGAAGCUAAGGGAAAUGAGGGAUUUGCUUGAUGCUAAACACAUAUUGCUUGAGUGCAGAUUACCCAGGUAUGGUUACUAUGUCUUCAAUGUUUCCAUUAAAACCUUGUUCUUCUCUGUUUAUCUUCUCUUCACUGUGCCCUUUGUUGCGCAUGCCUUCAUUUUUUGUGGGGAUCUCCUAUUAGAGGAGGGAGAAGGGAGGGGAAGAAAAAGAAAAGAAUCGGAGAAGGGAGGUUGUUGAUCUUGGAAGCUAAGGGAAAUGAGGGAUUUGCUUGAUGCUAAGCACAUAUUGCUUGAGUGGAGAUUACCCAGCUCUGCAACUUAUUGCUCCUAUUCUUCUUCACUAGUGUCUCUCUUGUUGAGCCUCGGACUUUGCAGUUUUGUUUGGAGUCCUACUGGUGUUUAGUCGUUUUUGUUCAUUAUUUAGCAUUCAGCUCUUGCUCGUGUAUUUGAGCAUAAGAAUGUCUGUUUCUUGGGUAUGUUGUAAACAGUGUUUGAAAUAUAUUUUUCUCUGAAAUUUCGGUUAUCGGCAGGCUCCCGUCCACGGAAAUUUUUGGUAAUUUUUCGGAAAUAUCACCGAUAUUUUGGUA
Molecule: long non-coding RNA, 1204 nt
Organism: Vitis riparia (riverbank grape)
Lineage: Eukaryota; Viridiplantae; Streptophyta; Magnoliopsida; Vitales; Vitaceae
Exons: 3
Source: RefSeq, a predicted model, not a curated record